RNAcentral lists this ribosomal RNA (321 nucleotides) under Triticum aestivum (bread wheat). Its description in RNAcentral is "partial small subunit ribosomal RNA". Lineage: Eukaryota; Viridiplantae; Streptophyta; Magnoliopsida; Poales; Poaceae. The record is from RNAcentral.
AUGAUGGGUGGGCCCUGUUGGGCGUGGGGGUGGGUGGGCCCUGUUGGGCGUGGGGGGCAGAUAUUGAGGUGGAGUUGGCUAACGUUUUGGUGCAAAUGGAUUUCGUCCACGGAUGAACACUUAGGUUUCGCACCAGCGCAAGCGACCUCCUCCUCCUCCCUUUCCCAUUCGUCCUCCCUCCUAGCCGCCGCCGCCUCCCCUCCUUCCUCCUCCUCCUCUCUCGCCAGUGCCGCCUGGCCGUUGCUGCCUCCUCCUUGGUGCUCAAGGGGACGAGCACGAGAGGUCGCCACACUGCACUACCUCGUCCAGGGUGGGUGCUGA